GGCAGAUGGCACCUAGUGGACAUGGCAUCUGCCCGGUAAGCGGAGCGUUGUGGGUUCGAUUCCCGCCCCUGGACA
Molecule: transfer RNA, 75 nt
Filed under: Cordylochernes scorpioides
Lineage: Eukaryota; Metazoa; Arthropoda; Arachnida; Pseudoscorpiones; Chernetidae
Description: tRNA-Thr
Source: RNAcentral